RNAcentral lists this ribosomal RNA (253 nucleotides) under uncultured bacterium. Its description in RNAcentral is "partial 16S ribosomal RNA". It matches the Rfam family "Bacterial small subunit ribosomal RNA", at positions 524 to 776 of the family's 1533-position model. The record is from RNAcentral.
GACGGAGGAGGCUAGCGUUGUCCGGAUUGACUGGGCGUAAAGAGCAUGUAGGUGGAAUCUUAAGUCGGCGGUGAAAGCCUUCCGCUUAACGGAAGAAUUGCCGCCGAAACUAAGGUUCUUGAGGGCAGGAGAGGAGAGUGGAAUUGCUGGUGUAGCGGUGAAAUGCGUAGAGAUCAGCAAGAACACCCGUGGCGAAGGCGGCUCUCUGGACUGCUCCUGACACUGAGAUGCGAAAGCCAGGGGAGCGAACGGG